This 4800-nucleotide long non-coding RNA is filed under the name Marmota monax (woodchuck). Lineage: Eukaryota; Metazoa; Chordata; Mammalia; Rodentia; Sciuridae. The record is from RNAcentral.
GUGACCUCAGUGUUCACCUUCUCCCAGGGUGACCCAGUGCAAAUAUAAGCGCAUCGGCUGCCCAUGGCAUGGCCCUUUCCAUGAGCUGACAGUGCAUGAAGCUGCAUGUGCCCACCCCACCAAGACGGGCAAUGAGUUGAUGGAGAUCCUAGAUGAGAUGGACCAGAGCCACCGCAAGGAAAUGCAACUCUACAAUAGCAUCUUCAGCCUGCUCAGCUUUGAGAAGAUUGGCUACACAGGUGAGGUGCCCCACUGCCCUCUGCAUGCCACACGGGUAUGAACUGGGGAUGAUGCUGGUGACCAGAAGCUGGGUAUUGGGGACAGCAGGCUCUGUGCAGUGGGCACAGGCUGCGCCGGAUGGCUAGGCUCUGGACAACCUCCAGGUGGACAGGAGGAUAUCUCAGGGAAAAAAAGAUAGGUCAGGUCGGAGACUGAGCAGAGGGAGGGGCCAACAGGGCCUAGGGCAUACCUGCAUGGCUCUCACAGUAGCCCCUGCCCCUGUCCUCCCCACCCUGGCCUACCAUCCCAGCAAGCUGGUAUCACUGUGUGGGGCUCCACUGCCUUGGGACAGGUGGGGUCUAACCAGGAAGCGGGGCGUGUGUUAGGGAAGCCUGGGAACUCAGGGCUGCCACUCAGAGCUGGAGCAAGAGGAGCCUCCAUCAGGUCAGGCCCUGUCGGCAGACCUCACUGAAGCCACCACAGGCCUCCCAAGGCUGGUAAGAAGCUGUUCAGGGACAGGACUCCAGAGCAAACUGAGGGCACCCAGCUCAGGCUGUAGAACCAGGAAUGGAUGUCCACAGAUGGGCAGACUGGACUGGGCCUAGGCCCACUGGAUCUUGUGGCUCCUGGGCUACUGCUACCACCUUUGAACAUUUCGGAAAGCAGGAGUCAGGCUGGAGCCUGGUUCAGAGGACAGCAAGAAGCACCUGCAGACAAUGGGACACUCAGGGAGACCCCAUCCCUCUACUGCUCAGCAACACCAGGUGGCCAGGGCAACCAUGCAGCCAGUCACACCAUGCUGCCUAGACUGAGCUUGGCUGGGUAUAGACCUGAGCAGGCUCCAGAGGCUGAGGGCCCAGGGGGCUACAGCAGCAGAAAGCCACAGCCCCUGGUUAAGAGCAGCCUCAGCUGAUCGGACAGGCCCUGUGGGGUCUGGGUGGGCAGGGGCAUGUGGCUACAUCAGUGGCCAGGUAGGAAGCCCCAUCCAUGCAGGAAGGACUGGUUGCCUGGGAACCCACACCUCCACAGAGGGACUUGCCAGCCACAGGCUGUGGGUACAAAAGAGGACUGCAAAAGCAGGUCUGCCCGCUGACUGACAGCCCCAGAGAUGCCAGGCAGAGCCUGGUUGCAGCUGGACACCUGAGGACCUGGCGCUCCCCUCGGGCAGGACUGGGUGCCACUUACUCACCUGCCGGCUUUUCUGGCAGCUCUGUAUCCAAACCAAUAAAGUACACUUGUUCUCAGAACUGCAUCCUGUCUGUGUGUCUGCUUACCCCGCCCCUGCUGGGACACCAGGGCUAGGGUGAGGAGGGUGGUCCAUGGGUCAGCCACGCCUGGGAGAUGGCCUGACCUCCCAUAGCCUUGGGUUCUACAGCUAAUUGGUGUUUAUAUCCCCGGACCCCUGAAAGCUUGUGCGCCUCCAUGUGCAAUACUUGCAUUUGACUUGCCUUGUGACAAGUAGAGCUCACUAGGUCCGGGUAAGUUGCCUUUCUCCCUGGCUGAGCCUGUCCUCAGCCUGGUCAGAGAAGGCGCCACCACCCAGCUCUGCCCAACACUAACGGCUGGCUGUUUCUGGCCCUGUCUGUCUCCACAGAAGUCCAGUUCCGACCAUACCGCACGGAUGACUUCAUCACACGCCUGUACUAUGAAACACCGCGGUUCACAGUGCUGAACCAGACAUGGGUCCUGAAGGCUCGUGUGAAUGACUCAGAGCGCAACCCCAACCUGUCUUGCAAGCGCACACUUUCCUUCCAGCUCCUCCUCAAGAGCAAGGUCACAGCACCCCUGGAGUGCUCCUUCCUGCUGCUCAAGGGCCCGUAUGAUGAUGUGCGGAUCAGUCCUGUCAUCUACCACUUUGUCUUCACCAACGAGAGCAAUGAGACGGACUAUGUGCCUCUGCCCAUCAUCGACUCUGUGGAGUGCAACAAGCUGCUGGCUGCCAAGAACAUCAACCUGCGGCUCUUCCUCUUCCAGAUACAGAAGUAGGAUGGGCUCAGGAUGCCCAAGGAGCUGAGGGCCAAGGCCGGCGCCGCCAUCCCAUCCACCCCUGGCUUGGCAGCGGCUUCACAUGACCAUCUGAUCAUUUUAGCAAAAGAGGAGAACAGACAAAACCAAACACUGGGAAAGUCUGCAUGCGUGUGCCACAGGGUCCCUGCCUCCAGCUCCCCCUCUUCCUGGCCUCCCCCUCCUGAGGGUGGCUGGAGGCUGGGCUGACCGCAGAGGAGACAGUGCUUUGGGCUGCCCAGGCUCAGGGAUGGGUGUGAGGAGGGCAAGAACCAGCGGCCCUGCCCCUGCACCCAUCCUCACAGUGAGGCAGCACUGCCUGCUCUGGUCCCGGGCCGGGCUCAGGGGCCCUCGCUGACUUCAGACGGCAUAUUUGAUUGCAAUUAAAAGGCAGCCUUGUUUCCUACUUUCUGUUUUGUUGGAGGGGAAGGAGUGGCUGUGAAUGGACGGCGUGGGAGCUCUGGUAUGGCUUGGGGGUUACUGUUACGGCACCUGUGUGUGCCCCCAAGAGAGACUUGGAGACAUUGCUUUUCCCACAGUCUGUCACAGGUCUCUGGACUGAGGCCUAGAGAGGGACAGCCAUGAAGGGUCGGGACCCCCCCCCCCCCAGCUACCCGGCUACUUCAGGGAGGCAAGACUCAGCCACCAGGGCUCAGCAGAUGUUUUCGGAAUGCAGGGUGAAAUUCUGUCUCUUCCCAGGAAAAAAAUUAAACUCUUUACAGGCUCUUCUAAAAGAGAUGCCGUUUUAGUGAGAGAGAGCUCAUUCACUUCCUUUUAGCCUUGGGGCCCAGUGUCUUCAGGCUGCAAAGGAGGCAGGCCACUGGCUGUGAGCCUGGCUGGGUGAGGUCAGAGAGGGCCACCACCCCAACCUGCUCUCAGGGACUGGCUGCUGGGCCUUUGUUCAGAGAGCCACUGCAAGGGCCAAGGUUGGGCAGCAUGGCUUCUCACCUACAGAGUGUGAGCUAUGAGCAGGACUGGGGAGUGGGAAGCAGCCCUGCUUGGAGGAGAAGACCCUAGUCCUUUAUUCCCCUGGGACCCGCAGAGCUACUGGGAAGGUAGAAUUUGCUUCCCUCAACUUUUGUUUAGGAGAUGGGGCUCUUUUGUGAUAGCUUUUUUUGCUUUAAUACCAAAGAACUGGGUUUCCUCUGCCCUGACCAGGCCACCACACACCUGGGAGCAGCCCCCACCCUCCCUGCAGGCUGCCUGUGCCCCACGGGGUUGAAGGACUAGAUAGCCCUGUCCACAUGGGUGCAGAGUUUAGGCCAACUGACCCCUGAGGCUCCUCCCACCCCACCCCCAGGGGGCUGAGAAAUGGAGAGAAGGAGCUGUGGCAUAGAGCACAAGCCCUAACCACAUUCCUGAGCAUGGCUUAGCACAGGGGCCAGGGUGGCUGCCUGAAACAGUUUUCUCCUCAAGGAUGGCUCUCCUGUCUCCUCACAGACAGAAAGUUUCUCAGAGCUGUUUUCAAAGAUCCAUUUGGGCUCCUGUCCCCAGCUCAGGGCACAGAGCUUACAGGGAACUCCUCUCUGGGGAACCAUCUCUCCUGCAAAGCUGAUGUGGCCUGGAUAGUUGGGAAGACCCAUGUUUGGCUUUCUGCAUUCUGCAAAGAAAGACCCAACCCCAAAACCCAGCACAUCUAUAGGAGCGGUGGCCUCUGACUCAGGUACAGCCAGAUGACUCCUCUGCCCUUAUGGGGCAGCCCUGUCCCACACCCACUGACAGGCACAGAGGGCCUGUGGAGAACAGAGGCCCUUCAGGGAGCCCCUCUGGAUGCCAAGGUGACGGUGUGAGGGACAGUGCAGAACUGUCCUUUGCUGGUAUUUGUGAGACUGAUCCAGCAGAGGGUGAUGUGGUGGCUUCCUGGGGUGGGACAGAGUGGAAGGUUUGUUCUCCAAGGCCACAGCUAUGCUGGGGCAAGGAAGGGCACAACUGGGCUGGCAGGGCUUGGAGGUGACAGAUCUGUAUGUAUGUGUGUGGCUGUGGGGUCUGGGAAGCCACCAGGAGGGAGGAGGCCCAGGGCUGCCCGGCCUACAGCCUUUCCUCAGUGCUGGAGCCCACAGGGUCGACAACAGGGUCAGCCCAAGACAGAUGUGGGGACAAGGGGUAGGGGUGUGGUGUGUCUGGUGAUGCCCAGGAGGACUGCUUAGGCCUUGCAGCACUGUCCCCAGCAUGGCCCCUGCCCUAUGACUGUCACAUGCAGCAGCUGAGCCUAGCAACCUAGGGGAACUGGGCAGUGGAGGAGACUGGCAUGUCUCUGGGCCACACUGGGCACUGGCACCACAAACCUUGCACCAUUGUCACCAUGAACCCUUUAUUACUGAAGGCACAUCUACUGGCCUGUGUCCUCUUGCUGUCUCAGCCUGGUCCCUUUUCUGUCACCUGUGAGGAUGGGGGUGAUUAGUCUCUGCAGAUGUUGGGAGGCUUGUGGGGGUAUAGGCCAAGCCAGGCCUCUGCACCCCUCAUCUCACUCCCACUCUCUGUGAGCACCACAUCCCUCAGUUUGCCCAAAGUGAGACAUUUACAAAAACAAUAAAAAUAAAUUUUUAAACAUCAGAGCAAGAAGUGCUUUUAUGGCUG